This 352-nucleotide small nuclear RNA is filed under the name Pongo abelii (Sumatran orangutan). It matches the Rfam family "7SK RNA". From Rfam's summary of the family: 7SK was discovered as an abundant small nuclear RNA in the mid-70s but a possible function has only recently been suggested. Two independent studies have found that 7SK RNA binds the CDK9/cyclin T complex (known as elongation factor P-TEFb). The record is from RNAcentral. Lineage: Eukaryota; Metazoa; Chordata; Mammalia; Primates; Hominidae.
GGAUGUAAGGGCAAUCUGGCUGCAAUAUCUGUCACCCUACUGAUCACCAGGGUUGAUGUGGCUAAUCUGGCUGGCUAGGAGGGUGUCCCCGUCCUCCCUCACGGCUCCAUGUGCGUCCCUCUGUGCGCUCAGUCAAAGGGGGCGACCAUCCCCAACAGAGGAGGACUGGUCUUCGGUCAAGGGUAUAUGAGUAGCUGCACUCCCCUACCAGAACCUCCAUUCAAGCUCUCAAAAAAUACGGGAAAAAAAAUUAGCUGCUUGGGAGGCUGAGGUGGGAGCCUGAGCCCAGAGAAGUCGAGUGAGCCAUGAUUGUGUCACUGCACUCCAGCCUGGGAAACAGUGAGACCUUGUC